AGGGUUUGAUCCUGGCUCAGAAUGAACGUUGGCAGCAUGGAUUAGGCAUGCAAGUCGAGCGGAAGUGCUUGCACUUCAGCGGCGAAAGGGUGAGUAAUGCAUAGGUAAUCUGCCGAUACGCUGGGGAUAACGGUUCUAACGGGCCGCUAAUACCGAAUGUGGCUAUAUUGGAGCAUUCCGAAGUAGCUAAAGAGGGGUUUACCUCUCGCGUAUUGAGGAGCCUAUGUCCUAUUAGCUAGUAGGUUAAUUAAGAGUUGACCUAGGCGAUAUGGGUAGCCGGGCUGAGAGGCUGAUCGGCCACACUGGGACUGAGACACUGCCCAGACUCCUACGGGAGGCUGCAGUCGAGAAUCUUCGGCAAUGGGCGAAAGCCUGACCGAGCGAUGCUGCGUGGAUGAUGAAGGUCUUCGGAUUGUAAAAUCCUGUUAGAAGCUAGGAAUUGUGCGGGAAUUAAUAUGUCCUGUAUUUGGCAUAAACUUCAGAGAAAGCCACGGCUAAAUUCGUGCCAGCAGCCGCGGUAAUACGAAUGUGGCAAACGUUAUUCGGAAUCACUGGGCGUAAAGGGCGUGUAGGCGGCGUUAUAAGUCUGAUGUGAAAUCCCUCAGCUCAACUGGGGAACUGCGUUGGAAACUGUAAUGCUCGAGUGUGAUAGGGGGAAGUGGAACUCCAUGUGGAGCGGUGAAAUGCGUAGAUAUGUGGAGGAACGCCGAUGGCGAAAGCAACUUCCUGGGUCAUUACUGACGCUGAGGCGCGAAAGCUAGGGUAGCGAACGGGAUUAGAUACCCCGGUAGUCCUAGCCGUAAACGAUGGGUACUAGAUAGUAGAGGAGUUGGUGCUUUUACUGUCGCAGCAAACGCAUUAAGUAUCCCGCCUGGGGAGUACGACCGCAAGGUUGAAACUCAAAGGAAUUGACGGGGGCUCACACAAGCGGUGGAGCAUGUGGUUCAAUUCGAAACAACGCGAAGAACCUUACCAAGGCUUGACUUAUAAGUAGUACUGAUGAGAAAUCUGAAGGACGUGAGCAAUCAUGAGCUUAUACAGGUGUUGCAUGGCUGUCGUCAGCUCGUGCCGUGAGGUGUAGAGUUAAGUCUCGUAACGAGCGAAACCCUUACCACUAGUUACUACCAGGUGAUGCUGAGGACUCUAGUGGGACUGCCGCGUAAAAGUUGGAGGAAGGUGGGGACGACGUCAAGUCAUCAUGGCCCUUAUGCCUUGGGCUACACACGUGCUACAAUGGUUUGUACAAAGGGAAGCAAAGCAGUGAUGUGGAGCAAAUCCCAGAAAGCAAUCCCUAGUUCGGAUUGAAGGCUGCAAUUCGCCUUCAUGAAGCUGGAAUCGCUAGUAAUCGCGGGUCAGCAAUACCGCGGUGAGUAUGUUCCUGAGCCUUGUACACACCGCCCGUCAAGCCACGGAAGCUUGGAGUACCUGAAGUCGCUGACCCAACCUGAACUGGAGGGAAGCGCCGACGGUAAGCUGAGUGACUGGGACUAAGUCGAAACAAGGUA
RNAcentral lists this ribosomal RNA (1505 nucleotides) under metagenome. RNAcentral's name for it is "bacterial SSU rRNA". It matches the Rfam family "Bacterial small subunit ribosomal RNA". The record is from RNAcentral.